Long non-coding RNA from Vicia villosa (hairy vetch), 521 nucleotides. RefSeq lists it as uncharacterized. The transcript has 4 exons. Lineage: Eukaryota; Viridiplantae; Streptophyta; Magnoliopsida; Fabales; Fabaceae. The record is from RefSeq and is a predicted model, not a curated record.
ACCUCUUCCAUUCCCUUUCAUCAUUCCAUGUUUCCUCUUUUCUCUUUCUGCAACAAACCCUAAUUUUCAGAUUUUGUAUUCCACAAACUCCAUCCUAAAGUUCAGAUCUGUCCAUAACCACAAAUUUUUACAUCCUUUCUCUCUUCCUCUCUCACGAAGAUUUGGAGAUGAAAAUGCUUAUUGAUGUGCGAUUCAGAUUUUCGUUUCAAAACUCCUUCUUCGACGAUGCCGCUUCGUAUGGGGUUGUCUGAUCGGAAGCUGCAUAUGUGAUUCUGCCACAGUUGAUAGAUGUUUACGGUCAGAGACAUUUGACAAGUGCGUUAGAGUGGAUGGGAAAACACUCUUUGAGUAUAUUUGUCCUUGUAUCUUCAAACUUGCCGUGAUUUUUAUUCAAGGAUUUUAUUUGAGGAAAUCUGAAAAUAACAUUGUAAGCAAAGAUAUUGUUGAUGUUGUAAGCUAUUUUAUAUUUUCAGAUGUUUCCAACAAACAAUUGAAAAUAUAUUUAGAAAAUAUGUUAUUCU